GGAUGCGAUCAUAACAGCACUAAAGCACCGGAUCCCAUCAGAACUUCGAAGUUAAGCGUGCUUGGGUGAGAGCAGUACUAGGAUGGGUGACCUCCUGGGAAGUCCUCGUGUUGCAUUCC
This is a non-coding RNA of Triticum aestivum (bread wheat), 119 nucleotides long. Lineage: Eukaryota; Viridiplantae; Streptophyta; Magnoliopsida; Poales; Poaceae. The record is from Rfam.